AGUUUUCACUGGAGGUGCCCUUUACAAGGGCUGAGAUCGAAGUGUACUUCGGGACUCCCUGAACCUGAUCCAGUUCAUACUGGCGUAGGGAAGUGAGCAGACGCGCUU
RNAcentral lists this non-coding RNA (108 nucleotides) under Salisediminibacterium selenitireducens. RNAcentral's name for it is "Bacillus selenitireducens TPP sequence". It matches the Rfam family "TPP riboswitch aptamer (THI element)". Rfam says of the family: Vitamin B(1) in its active form thiamin pyrophosphate (TPP) is an essential coenzyme that is synthesised by coupling of pyrimidine and thiazole moieties in bacteria. The previously detected thiamin-regulatory element, thi box was extended, resulting in a new, highly conserved RNA secondary structure, the THI element, which is widely distributed in eubacteria and also occurs in some archaea. Analysis of operon structures identified a large number of new candidate thiamin-regulated genes, mostly transporters, in various prokaryotic organisms. The record is from RNAcentral. Lineage: Bacteria; Bacillati; Bacillota; Bacilli; Caryophanales; Bacillaceae.